Molecule: ribosomal RNA, 253 nt
Filed under: uncultured bacterium
Lineage: Bacteria
Description: partial 16S ribosomal RNA
Rfam family: Bacterial small subunit ribosomal RNA
Source: RNAcentral
UACGUAGGGGGCAAGCGUUGUCCGGAUUUAUUGGGCGUAAAGAGCGUGUAGGCGGUCUGGUAGGUCCGUUGUGAAAACUCGAGGCUCAACCUCGAGACGCCGAUGGAAACCAUCAGACUAGAGUCCGGAAGAGGAGAGUGGAAUUCCUGGUGUAGCGGUGAAAUGCGCAGAUAUCAGGAGGAACACCGGUGGCGAAGGCGGGUCUCUGGGCCGAUACUGACGCUGAGGAGCGGAAGCAUGGGGAGCGAACAGG